This is a long non-coding RNA of Bubalus bubalis (water buffalo), 334 nucleotides long. RefSeq lists it as uncharacterized. The record is from RefSeq and is a predicted model, not a curated record. The transcript has 3 exons. Lineage: Eukaryota; Metazoa; Chordata; Mammalia; Artiodactyla; Bovidae.
GUUGUGGGGUCCCUGCUGGGAGUGGUAAGAGACCCACAGAAAGGCUGGGUGGAGAGGACAAAGCCCCGCACCACUGCUCUCUCAGGAAAGAAGAGGGUGGAGGUGCCGGAUAUACUCAUAUCCGCCUGGCCUCACCUUCUGCACACAACUGCAGGGACAGAACCUGGAUUCCCACCUUAGGCUCCUGGCAAAGGACAAGGGAAGUUCUGGAUUUGCAAGAAGGUCCUUCCUGCUGCCACACUCCCAGACGAGAAGAGAUGCAGCCCCCAACAGAACACCGUUCCGCUCGCUGGGAACCCACGUCCAUGCCUGUCUCAGGCAAUCACACCAACCA